Molecule: ribosomal RNA, 468 nt
Filed under: uncultured bacterium
Lineage: Bacteria
Description: partial 16S ribosomal RNA
Rfam family: Bacterial small subunit ribosomal RNA
Source: RNAcentral
GACGAACGCUGGCGGCGUGCUUAACACAUGCAAGUCGAACGGAAAGGCCCUGCUUUUGUGUGGUGCUCGAGUGGCGAACGGGUGAGUAACACGUGAGUAACCUGCCCUGGACUUUGGGAUAACUUCAGGAAACUGGGGCUAAUACCGGAUAGGAGCUCCUGCUGCAUGGGGGGGGUUGGAAAGUUUCGGCGGUUGGGGAUGGACUUGCGGCUUAUCAGCUUGUGGGUGGGGGAGUGGCUUACCAAGGCUUUGACGGGUAGCCGGCCUGAGAGGGUGACCGGCCACAUUGGGACUGAGAUACGGCCCAGACUCCUACGGGAGGCAGCAGUGGGGAAUAUUGCACAAUGGGCGGAAGCCUGAUGCAGCAACGCCGCGUGCGGGAUGACGGCCUUCGGGUUGUAAACCGCUUUCGGCUGUGACGAAGCGUGAGUGACGGUAAUGGGUAAAGAAGCACCGGCUAACUACGUG